UGAUGAAGUUCGACCCAGAAAGAGAACAAAGAUAUGACCUGUCUGCAUUUCAAAGUGUUGAUGUUGAAAACUUCCGAGUCUGGACUAAAAGAUCAUUAAGUGAGUCAUUUUCCUCUAGAAAGAGAUUAUAAUCUGGGUGCUCCAAGUGAUCGUUUUUGUAUAUUUAGCAUCUCCUUAUUUUGAGAUAUUUCUAUUUUUGAAUGCCUCUUGGCGAGACACCUCAAGACGACUUCCUCUUGAUUAUUUUGAUGCCAUAAUAAUGACCUUGUGUUGUAGUAUUAA
Molecule: non-coding RNA, 282 nt
Organism: Prunus avium (sweet cherry)
Lineage: Eukaryota; Viridiplantae; Streptophyta; Magnoliopsida; Rosales; Rosaceae
Source: RefSeq, a predicted model, not a curated record